This 4895-nucleotide long non-coding RNA is filed under the name Cricetulus griseus (Chinese hamster). Its description in RNAcentral is "lncRNA (ENSCGRG00015033887.1)". The record is from RNAcentral. Lineage: Eukaryota; Metazoa; Chordata; Mammalia; Rodentia; Cricetidae.
GUAAAUAAUUACAUCUCAUGAAUUUGUUCCCCUUGUAGGUUGAAUUCAAAGUUUAUAUUCAAUUUGGUUAUUUUUGCUCUAAUUAACAGUUUUAAUAUUUUUGCUUGUUUCUGCAUUCUUGUUUCCUUUGUUAACUCGUCCUUGUACAUGGUAGAAAAAUAGUAACUGAGCUAUCCCCAGCCUUUUUAUUUUAAAAAACUGCAUUUAUGUACUUUUGUGAACAUGGGGGUGGGGCAGUCCUUAGGAAUUGGCUCUUCAACGUGGACUGGCAGACUUGGCAUCAAAGCACAGCUAAGCUCUGAGCCAUCAAUUUUUUUUUUUUUUUUCCCUCAUGACAGGGUUUCUUUGUAUAGCCCUGGCUGUCAUGGAACUUGCUCUGUGAACCAGGCUGGCCUUGAACUCUCAGAGAUGCAACUGCCUCUGCCUCCUGAGUGCUAGGAUUAAAGGCAUGUGCCGCCACCUCCUGAGCCAUUUUGGUGCCAUAUUUUUGAAGCAGGAUCUUAACUGUGUAGAACAGGCUGCCAUUGAAUGUAAGGUAGUAGUGAUUCUGUAUUAGCCUUGAAAGUACUGGGAUUACAGAUGCCAGCCAUCACGAUACCCUAAAUUUAAGAAUAUAUGCAUCUUUUGUGAUAGGUGACCUGAUUUGUGCGUGCGUGCGUAUACAUCUGUGUUUUUUUUUUUUUUUCUUUUGUUUGAGACAUGGCUUCUCUGUAUAACAGUCCUGGCUGUCGUGGAACUCACUCUGUAGACAGGCUUCCCUGAACUCACAGAGACCUUCCCUGCCUCUGCUUUCCCUCCUGAGUCCUGGCAUUAAAGGGUGUGGUACCACAUUUCUUUAUUUCUUUUUCCAAUUUUUGGGGGGUAGGGGGAGACCUGUAUUUUUAAAAAGGCAUUUCUGAUGUUAGGGUUUAUACAUUACAUUAGGUCUGUGCUUCAGGAAAUAUUUUUUUACCUUAACUUAUUAAUUAUUUGUGUUUGCAAAUUUGAAUUGGAAGGUGAGAGGACAACUUGAGUAGGCGUCUUUCACCUUGUGAAAGAUUUAAAAUUUUUAUGGGAAUGAGUGUUGUGCUUGUAUGUAUGUAUUUGCACUGUGUGCAUGCCUAGUGUACUCAUGUCAUAGGAGGUUGUUGAUUCUCUGGAACUGGAGUUAAAGAUGGUUGUGAGUCAUCAUUUGGGUAAUGGGAACCAAAGGCUAUUUUCUCUGAAAGCAGUAAGUACCUUAACUACUGAACCACCUCUUCAGCCACAAGAAUUAAAUGGUUGAUGUGUACCAGUAAUCAUAAUCCUUUUAAUUCAGAUUAUCAAGGUGGUUUUAAAAUAUAUGCUUUAUGUUUGUGUAUUUUUCUCUUUUGAGAUAGUUUCCUUAGUCCUUAGUUAUCAACCAUCAUGUCUACUUUUAUGAUUUAUUUUAAAGCAGCUUUCUUUUUUUAAAAAAAUAUUUAUUUUAUUUGGAUUGGUGUUUUCAGGCAAGUAUACCUGAGUAAGGGUAAGGGUGUCAGACUUGUAGUUGCAGACAGAUGUUAGCUGCCAGGUGGGUGGGUGCUGGAAAUUGAACACAGGUCCUCUGGAAUAGUACUCAGUGCUCUUAACCACUGAGCCAUCUCUCCAGCCCCUUAAAGCAGUUUUCUUAAGAAACGCUAAUUAAUGUCUUUGUUUACUUGUUUUCUUGGGACUUAGGCUGGACAGAGGUUACCAGGAAGAACCUUUUGCUUACCACAGUACACAAAUACCUCUCACUAUCCUAUCUUUCUAAACAUUCUCUAGAGUUCACUGUUCUUAGAUUUUAAUGUUUAAGUGUUCAAGGGAUUAAGAAGCAACAAAGUGUUCUUGACUUUUACUGUCAAAGGGCCAGCAUUGUAUGCUUAUAUUCCCUAAAGUUUAAUUUUUGGUCUCAAAGUACAUUUUAGAAUGUGUGAGAUAGGUAGGAAUUUGACUAAACUGAACUGGACCCUCAUCCCAUUUUGAAGGGUGACAAAAAUACUACAUACUACUACUUCCUCAAUUUUGGGUAGAUUUCAUCAGUGUUAAUAAUUUCACUCUGAUGUAAAGUGAGAUCAAAGACCCUUUUUUGGUGGUUUCAAAACCUAAACAUUUCUUGGACUGGUGUGUGACUUAAUCAUAAACGUACUACUAAGGCACUAUGAGGGAUUUCUCUUAGAAAUCUUUGAAACACUUUUUUUUUAAAAAACCAAGAUUUCUUAAUCAUUUUCUACCCCUUUAGCCCUAAAUCACUUUAUUGUUUACUUUUUAUGAUACUAAUUUGAACCGGGGACCUUGUUUGCUAGGGAGCCUUCUGCACUGUCCAGCAUCUCUUGCCCUGAGUAAAUUUAGUUUUCUCCUGUGUUAAGAUUUGACGUUGCUCAAAAACCCUCUUCUGUUAAGGUAGAUUACACUAGAGGAAGUUUAACAAUUUUAAGAUUAUUGCUAUGCUCUGUUUUCUUAUGAAGGUAUUUAGUAUCUACUUUAAUAGUAACUUUUAAACAGAUUCUUGCUAUAUCUUGAUUAUGCUUUACAAAAAUGAAUUUAGAUUUGAUAAACAGGGCACUUGCAAACAAUUCCUAGGAAGUUAGUUUGAUAGCUUAGUUUAAGUAUUAAACUAGGUUUUUUUUGUUUGCUUUUUUUUAAAUCUUAAAUUGCUACAAUUCCAUAUUAAGCUUUUAAAAAGUUUUAUGUGUUUGUAGAUCAGAGAAAACUUGUGUAAGUAAAUUCUCUUUUUCAUAGGAAUUCCUAUCAGCUUCCUUGUCAGCAAGCAUUUUUACCUGGUGAGCCAACUCACUGUCUCUUUUUGGUGGAGACAUAGUCUCCUAUAUCUAACCCAAGCCAUGAUCUUUCUGGUUCAACUCCCUGAGUCCUGAGAUGACAGUAACUUUCAAACAGUAGUUUUGCAUAUUUUUAUUUAUUUUUGUUAACAUAUGAGGGUCUCCCAUAUGUUAAGUGCUAUAGCACUUAGUUAUACCUCUUAAUAGGUUUUCUGCCUGUCCCCCAGUAAUGUUUCUCUACAGACUCAGUAAGCCAGAUCAAGCCAAAUUGGAAAAGUAUAACAUCAGGUAUAUUGAGCAAGGCAGCUAUCAAGCAGGUUCACGACGCCUGAGAAGUCAUACCCCCAAACUAAAGUGGAGAUUUUAUAGGUUAUAGGCAAGGGGUGAUGACAUGGCCACCAUAAGCUGGGUUUGUGUCCAAGUAUGGUCAAAGGCCAAGCACUUAGGCAGGCAGGAAUUUGAGCUGCUGGCAACUUCAGCGGAGGAAACUGUUAAUAGCUGCCAAGAAUGCAGAACUGGGCUUUUUGGCACCUUUCCUUUGUUAGGAGACUCUAUGCAGCAGGGUUUAGGACCAGGCUUGUAGAGCCCAGAGGCUCCAGCAGAACAGCUGUCUUAUUUUGUGAUUUUUGUAAUCAUAUAAAACCAAGACAAAUGAAAACCCAUCCUUAUUUCAGAAAGUAUUUGAGAUAUGAGUAUUUCCCAUAUUUAGUUAUGAGGAAUUUAUGUCAGUAACUUAAUGAGAAGUCCUGAUAAAUCAACUGCAUAUAUAAGAAUUAGUGUUAGUGUUGGAGAAAUGGCUUGGCAUUUAAGAGCCUGUAUCUUGGAGGGGACCUAGUGUGGUUUUCAGCACUUAUGCUUCUUGUAACUCCAGCUCCAGAAUAUCCAGUGCCCUCUUCUGGACUUGUACAGAUGUGCACACAAACACACACACACACACACACACACACAGACAUAGAAAGUUUUCAAAAUAAGUCUGUUAAUCAAAUAGUAUAGUUGAUAGUAAUUUGAAAUGAUGGCUAAGGUAACAUUUUAUUUAGAAAUAUGUACAUGAUUAUAUUAUGUUGUUUCUAGCAUAUGAUAAACAUUUUGAAGUAAUAUGGUAAUAGGGAUAAAAUGAUAUUGGAGAUAAGUAGUAAAGCUUUUCUUUGAAAGACUUAAAAGUUAAUUAGACGGGAGGCCAGAAUAUGGAUUAAUUCUGUACUGUUAACUUGUAUUCUCUCUAUCUUCAACUCUGGAUAUUCACGAAGGACCUCAAUAAAUACUCCUUUUGGAGUUCUUGGACUGAGACCUAGGCUUGUAAUUUUAGCAACUUGUUCUAGAAGUUGGCUUCUGUACUACCACAUUUAAAAUCUUGUCACAAUUAAUUAUAAAUGGAUUAAUCCAUUUAUAAACUGUAUUUCUUGGUCUGUUGGUUCCUUAGACAGUAUUGCAGUUGUGAUACAGUCAUAGGAUUUAAUAAAAUCUAUUCUGUCUUUUGCAGAAAUGUGGAUCUCCAGAUGGAAUGAAAGACCUAUACCAUAGACAUUGUUGAAUCAUUUAGUAUACAACAUUCUGCUUUUAUGUAUAUCUGCACACCAGAAGAGGGCACCAGUACUCAUAACAGAUGGUUGUGAGCCACCAUGUGGUUGCUGGGAAUUGAACUCAGGACCUCUGGAAGAACAGCCAGUGCUCUUAACCUCUGAGCCAUCUUGCCAGCAUGGCAUCCAGUCAGCUUGAAGUUUCAAAUGGACCUUACCACUGAGAAAUCAAGAUGGCAGCCCACUAUGGGGAAUUGAGGAAAAUGGAUUAAUGCAAGAAUGCUGUGAUAUUAUACAACCAACACAGGGUUCUUUUAUGUGGAUUCAGGAAAUGAACGAUUGUUGCCCAACACAAAUGGACAGUGGGAUUUACUUUCUAAAGACUUGUUACAUAUCAUCUACAAUUUAACAUCUGAAGAUGAUGCUACGUUUAUUCAAAUGGUAGUUUGUAUUCCUGGAAUUUCUUACAAUUUUGAUAUGAGUGACCUCAUGGAAUGUUAACUUCAAUAAAAAAUUUAAAACUUAAAGAUUUCUCAGUUUGGCCCUUUUUUAAUUUUUUUUUUUUAAAGUGGAAGCUUUCAUUCAGUGUUCAUUUCCCCUCAACAUUUUGACCUUUAUA